UAGUAAUUCUUAGUUUCCAUUUUGAAGCAACAUUAAUAAUCUGGCUCUCUUACGCAUCUGUCCAGGUAUGAGCUUCAGCUGGAGGGCAUAUUGAAUCUGCCAGAAUUUUUCGGCCAGAGCCAGCCUCAAGCUGAUGGAGGACCAAGGAACCAGUCAUCCCACCCGUCCACAUCGUGUGCAGGGAAGGAGCAUCUGUGCGCAUUACAUUAGAGGAGCAUCACGAACGCUCUUCCUUCACUGUGGGAAGCUGUUUGAAGGCAGUCGGCACCCCGGGUGAAGAUUAACGCACUCUUGUCUGUGAAGUACUUUCCGUUCUUCUUCGGAGAAAAGCUCGAUUGUUAUCCUCACCGGUAUCCACAACCAGACCUGUCAGAUUGGAGUCUUCUGGGGUUUCGGGCCCACGCCAGCACUCGAGUCAUUUCAGAUGUGGUGCUGCUAAGGGAUUUUGUGUGCCAAGCGCUGACAGGAGAAUCAAAUCAGAUGGCAUCCCUGUCACACACGGGGCUCACAAUCUAAGAGGGAGAGAGAGCCAACGAGGAAACUGAGGCUCAGAAGGGUUAACCGACUUGCCCGAGAGCCGGGAUUAGAACCCAGGUCUCCUGGCUCCCAGAGCAUCUUCCCACUGUGCCCCAUCUGACUACCUUGUCUCUGCCCCAGUGCUCAGUGCGGAAUUUGGCACCCAGCAAGCAAUACUAAUUAUUAAGUUAAAAAAUAAAAAUGCCGUCCCUGCCCUCAAAUUGCUCCCAAUUUAAGGAAGCAUGAGAAGAGGAAGGAGUUCAGUUGCUGGGAGGAGAGGAGGGUGGAGGUCAGGGCAGGGUCUCCCAGCUGUCCUCUUGACCGGUCCGUGGCCAGCGCCCCAAAGGUGACUGAGUCAGCCCGGGCAGUCCCGGCCAGGGACCACCUUCAGGCCGUACGCUUCACUUCUGAGCAAGGGACGAGCUCGGACAGGCCCGGAGAGCCAACGUUUGGGUUAAAAGGGCUGCCGAAUCCAUGAAGGUCAAGGUCAUCUCUCCCUCUGACCGAUGGAAACCCCCAGCUUCAGACCCUGGGUCCGCCUUCUGUAGCGAAACCAGGGGCCUCUGGACUGUGAGCUCAUCCUCUAGACUGUAAGCUCGCUGUGGGCAGAGAAUCUGCCUGUUGAUGGUUAUAGU
This 1151-nucleotide long non-coding RNA is filed under the name Ornithorhynchus anatinus (platypus). RNAcentral's name for it is "lncRNA (ENSOANG00000049780.1)". Lineage: Eukaryota; Metazoa; Chordata; Mammalia; Monotremata; Ornithorhynchidae. The record is from RNAcentral.